UUCCAGACUCCUACGGGAGGCAGCAGUGAGGAAUAUUGGUCAAUGGUCGGGAGACUGAACCAGCCAAGCCGCGUGAGGGAUGAAGGUACAGAGUAUUGUAAACCUCUUUUGUCAGGGAACAAAGGCGGGGACGUGUCCCCGGAUGAGUGUACCUGAAGAAAAAGCAUCGGCUAACUCCGUGCCAGCAGCCGCGGUAAUACGGAGGAUGCGAGCGUUAUCCGGAUUUAUUGGGUUUAAAGGGUGCGCAGGCGGAAGAUAAAGUCAGGGGAAAAAUGGAGGGGCUCAACCUCUUCGAGCCGUUGAAACUGGUUUUCUUGAGUGAGUGAGAAGUAUGCGGAAUGCGUGGUGUAGCGGUGAAAUGCAUAGAUAUCACGCAGAACUCCGAUUGCGAAGGCAGCAUACCGGCGCUCAACUGACGCUCAUGCACGAAAGUGUGGGUAUCGAACAGGAUUAGAUACCCCGGUA
This 465-nucleotide ribosomal RNA is filed under the name uncultured bacterium. RNAcentral describes it as "bacterial SSU rRNA". It matches the Rfam family "Bacterial small subunit ribosomal RNA", at positions 329 to 792 of the family's 1533-position model. The record is from RNAcentral.